RNAcentral lists this small RNA (397 nucleotides) under Pelobates cultripes (western spadefoot toad). Lineage: Eukaryota; Metazoa; Chordata; Amphibia; Anura; Pelobatidae. The record is from RNAcentral.
GGGGGAGACACAGUGAGUGGGGGUGACUGGUGACAGAGUGAGGGAGUGGGUGACUAGUGACAGAGGGAGGGAGAUAGGGGUGACUAGUGACAGAGGGAGGGAAUGGGUGACUAGUGGCAGAGUGAGGGAGGGAAGAGAUGACUAGUGGCAAAGUGAGGGAGGGAAGGGGUGACUAGUGACAGAGUGAGGGGAUGACUGGUGACAGAGUAAGGGGGGGUGACUGUCACUAGUCACCCCAUCCCUCUCUCUGUCACUAGUCACUCCCUCCCUAACUCUGUCACCGUAUCACCCGCUCCCUCACUCUGUCACUGUGUCACCCACUCCCUCACUCUGUCACUAGUCAACCCAUCCCUCUCUCUGUCACUAGUCACCCCAUCACUCUCUCUGUCACUAGUCA